CUAAGUUUGGAAUUAAAUAAAGACAGAGAUGUGGAGAGAAUACAUGGAAGUGGUAUCAACACCCUUGAUAUUGAGCCUGUUGAGGGAAGAUACAUGUUAUCUGGUGGAUCAGAUGGUGUCAUUGUACUUUAUGACCUUGAAAACUUGAGCAGGAAACCAAGUUACACAUGUAAAGCACUUUUUUCUGUUGGAAGGAGUCAUCCUGAUGUACAUAAAUUCAGUGUGGAGACAGUCCAGUGGUAUCCUCAUGACACUGGCAUGUUUACAUCGAGCUCAUUUGACAAAACCUUGAAAAUAUGGGAUACAAAUACUUUACAACCUGCAGAUAUAUUUCACUUUGAGGGAACAGUCUAUAGCCAUCACAUGUCUCCAGUUGCUACAAAGCAUUGUUUAAUAGCAGUUGGUACCAAAAGCCCCAAAGUACAGCUCUGUGACUUGAAGUCUGGAUCCAGUUCUCACAUUCUGCAGGGUCACAGACAAGAAGUAUUGGCAGUGUCUUGGUCCCCACGUCAUGAAUAUAUUUUGGCAACAGGAAGUGCUGAUGGCAGAAUAAAAUUGUGGGAUGUGAGGAGGGCUUCUGGGUGUCUGAGUACACUUGAUCAGCACAAUGGGGAAAAGUCCAAAGCAUCUUCUGAGGCAGCAAAUACUGCUCACAAUGGGAGAGUAAAUGGUUUAUGCUAUACAAAUGAUGGACUUCAUCUACUAAGCAUUGGAACAGAUGAUCGGAUGCGACUCUGGAACAGCUCCACUGGAGAAAACACCUUAGUGAACUAUGGGAAAGUCUGUAAUGAAAGUAGGAAAGGACUCAAAUUUGCCAUCUCUUGUGGCUGUAAUCCAGAGUUUGCCUUUGUUCCAUAUGGAAGUACCAUUGCUGUAUAUACAGUUUUCACAGGAGAACUGAUAACUGUGCUUAGAGGGCAUUAUAGUGCUGUCAACUGCUGUGUAUUUCAACCUCAUUUUCAGGAACUUUAUAGUGGUAGCAAAGACUGCAAUAUCCUUGCAUGGAUACCAGCUCCACGAGAGGCAGUUGCUGAUGAUAUUUCUGAAAAGUCUCUGCCUCAACAACAUUUAAAUCCAGCAUAUGAAGAUGCAUGGAGCAGCAGUGAUGAUGAAGACUGAAUUUAAAUUAUGAGCUGAUAUAAAAUUGACAUUCAGGCACUGCAUUCACAGACUUUAUCUACAGAAUUUAACAUUCAUUGUUGGAUUAAUCACAACUGGAUUUUAGAUUAAAACAGAUCUAUGACUGCUCCAGCAUUUUCUUUGUGACUGCCACAACAAUUUUGCAGCCUGCCAUCUGAACAUGCACUGGAAGGUGAGACUGGCGGAGAAAGGGAAGAGAAACUGCUUCACUAUUAGCAAGGUUAUGCAAUUUAGUGACUUUUAUGGGAUCCUUGUGGACCGUGGCAUAAGAAACAUGAGAAGAAACAGGAGAAAAAAGUAGAUGGUUGAUUUUUGAAUAGAGAGAGAUGUUGUGCAGCACAUGGCAUGUGGGGAUGACACAGACAGCUACAUCUUCAUUAGCACCAAAGAGUUUCCAUAGGCUGUAUUGGUUUAUCUUUGCUCGCCUCAUUAACUCACUUGUUUCUAAAAGCCCAAAACAAACGUUUAAUCAGAUUGAGUUGCAAUCAGCCUGCAUUCAAGCAAUAUACUCUGAGGAGAUGGAGGAGGAAACGUCCCUGCAAAACUCAGCUCAUCCAGAGAGAUAUGAGCAGGACUGAGUCAUCUUCUCACCUUGUCCCACAGCAAAACUGAUGAUACAUGUCUGAGGAAGAAUUCCUUUGUGGUGUGGAAACUGCUCCUGGAAAGUCACUGCAAGCAUUACACAAGGGGCCAUCCAUGGUGUUCUGGAAGAGACCUAGCCCCCUUGAGGCUAAAAGUUACUCUAAGAUCUCCUUGAAGACUUCAGCCCGAACACCUCCAACUCGCUCUGCUUUUGCUCACAGAGGAGAUGCUCCAACCCUCGGAUCGCCCUUGCGGCCUCCUCUGGACUCGCUCACGAAGACUCCUAACCCUUAGCCGUGACCCCUGGUGAGAGAGACGUGCGGGGCGCUGCCGGAGGCGCUGCGGGCGGUCCGGGGCGGUGC
Molecule: RNA transcript, 2084 nt
Organism: Ficedula albicollis (Collared flycatcher)
Lineage: Eukaryota; Metazoa; Chordata; Aves; Passeriformes; Muscicapidae
Gene: ERCC8
Gene name: excision repair cross-complementation group 8
Exons: 17
Source: RefSeq, a predicted model, not a curated record